AUGAACGCUGGCGGCGUGCCUAAUACAUGCAAGUCGAGCGAACGGACGAGAAGCUUGCUUCUCUGAUGUUAGCGGCGGACGGGUGAGUAACACGUGGAUAACCUACCUAUAAGACUGGGAUAACUUCGGGAAACCGGAGCUAAUACCGGAUAAUAUUUUGAACCGCAUGGUUCAAAAGUGAAAGACGGUCUUGCUGUCACUUAUAGAUGGAUCCGCGCUGCAUUAGCUAGUUGGUAAGGUAACGGCUUACCAAGGCAACGAUGCAUAGCCGACCUGAGAGGGUGAUCGGCCACACUGGAACUGAGACACGGUCCAGACUCCUACGGGAGGCAGCAGUAGGGAAUCUUCCGCAAUGGGCGAAAGCCUGACGGAGCAACGCCGCGUGAGUGAUGAAGGUCUUCGGAUCGUAAAACUCUGUUAUUAGGGAAGAACAUAUGUGUAAGUAACUGUGCACAUCUGGACGGUACCUAAUCAGAAAACCACGGCUAACUACGU
This 495-nucleotide ribosomal RNA is filed under the name uncultured bacterium. RNAcentral's name for it is "partial 16S ribosomal RNA". It matches the Rfam family "Bacterial small subunit ribosomal RNA", at positions 29 to 506 of the family's 1533-position model. The record is from RNAcentral.